AUUGAACGCUGGCGGAAUGCUUUACACAUGCAAGUCGAGCGGCAGCGCGGCCUUCGGGCUGGCGGCGAGCGGCGCACGGGUGAGUAAUGCAUCGGAACAUGCCCAGUCGUGGGGGAUAACACUUCGAAAGAAGUGCUAAUACCGCAUACGUCCUGAGGGGGAAAGCGGGGGAUCGCAAGACCUCGCGCGAUUGGAGUGGCCGAUGUCAGAUUAGCUAGUUGGUGGGGUAAAGGCCUACCAAGGCGACGAUCUGUAGCUGGUCUGAGAGGAUGAUCAGCCACACUGGGACUGAGACACGGCCCAGACUCCUACGGGAGGCAGCAGUGGGGAAUUUUGGACAAAGGGGGCAACCCUGAUCCAGCCAUUCCGCGUGAGUGAAGAAGGCCUUCGGGUUGUAAAGCUCUUUCGGCAGGAACGAAACGGUGGGCUCUAACAUAGUCCGCUAAUGACGGUACCUGAAGAAGAAGCACCGGCUAACUACGUG
This 484-nucleotide ribosomal RNA is filed under the name uncultured bacterium. Its description in RNAcentral is "partial 16S ribosomal RNA". It matches the Rfam family "Bacterial small subunit ribosomal RNA", at positions 29 to 507 of the family's 1533-position model. The record is from RNAcentral.